Unclassified non-coding RNA from Mesocricetus auratus (golden hamster), 288 nucleotides. Its record names the gene 7SK. It matches the Rfam family "7SK RNA". From Rfam's summary of the family: 7SK was discovered as an abundant small nuclear RNA in the mid-70s but a possible function has only recently been suggested. Two independent studies have found that 7SK RNA binds the CDK9/cyclin T complex (known as elongation factor P-TEFb). The record is from Ensembl. NCBI's taxonomy places the organism in Eukaryota, Metazoa, Chordata, Mammalia, Rodentia, Cricetidae.
GGAGUGCUUGGAGUAAAGGUUUGCACCACCACCACCCAGCUUCCAAGGGUUGAUUCGGCUGAUCUGGUUGGCUAGGCAGGUGUUCCCUUCCUCCCUCACCAUUCCAUGUGCAUCCCUCCCAAAGCUGCUUGCUCAGUCAAAGAGGACUACCUUCCCCAAAUAGAGGAGAACCAGUCUUCGGUCAAGGGUAUACGAGUAGCUGCACUCCCCUGUUAGAACCUCCAAACAAGCUCUCAAGAAUGUGGCUUGGGUUAAAUACAACUAGAAAGUCUCAGACAAAGAGAAUUU